Long non-coding RNA from Symphalangus syndactylus (siamang), 1424 nucleotides. RefSeq lists it as uncharacterized. NCBI's taxonomy places the organism in Eukaryota, Metazoa, Chordata, Mammalia, Primates, Hylobatidae. The record is from RefSeq and is a predicted model, not a curated record.
AGAAUUCUCCUAGACAAACACGUGUAGAAAUCCCAGCACUGGAGAGCUGGUGAGAAAGUGGGCAGAUCGACUCUAUUCACAGCUGGGGGAAACUGACCACUUUCACAAAAGGAAGGAUGCUCAGGUAACAUCUAGCCCAAAGGUCACUCAGGCACUAGGAGAGAGUGAAGUAUCCCAUCUUUGGGACACACAAGUCCCACUCAGCAUCCAUUGAAAGCGAAGCACCGAAAGCAUCAAGAUGGUGGCAGGACCUCAUUUUCCCUCUUCUCUAUUCUCUUACUCUUUCUCCAGCAUGGAAGAAACCUUGUGCUGGAUCAGGAGUCAGCAGAUCUGGCGUUCUCACCUAUGACCUUUUCUACCCAGAGCUUCUCUAAGCUUCAGCUUCCAUGACUUUAAAAGGAUUUUUUAAAAGACAAGACAGUGCUCAGGAAAGAACGUUCCAUUUGCUGUUAACUUCAGUGAUUUGCAGAAGAGUCCUCUGCCCUGCUUUUCUGAAAGUUGAACACCUCCCGAGCAGAUGGCAUCAGAGAGAAGCUGGAUGUUUUUCCUCAAAUGGAUUAAGAAAGCAGAAGCUUCUGAGCUUCUGCCAGGGGUAACAAUGCCACUUGUGGGCACCACUGAUUUUUAAAGCACUUCACAUUCAUUAGCUCAUGGAGCCUUUGCAGCAUCCCUGGAAGGCAAGAUGUUGGUGGGUAUUAUUGCCAUUUCAGAGAAGAGAAACAGGGUCAGAGAGGCACCUCAUUCUGUCAUCAAAAGGGUCACUACUGAAAUCUGGAGCACUCACUUGGAGCUCAAGUUUCCCUGGACCAGAGCUGCAUGGCACUAGGACAUUUCUCAUCUGCAACACACACCCAUGCCCACAAACCCUCGUAUACAUAAGCCCACAGCUUGCAUGCGCCCAGCCAUCUGAGUCUGGGACUUUCGUAGGAGUCAAAAUGGAAUUGUGCAACUCCAACCAUGAUGCUGGAUGCUCCUCUCUGUCUCAUCUUGUUUUCCUUCCAAGGUGGGGUAAGUGUGGUGGUCGGUAGAACUGGGGCUUUCUCAUCUUUGGAUGGUCAGGGGCAAAGACCCUGAGUGAGCCGCCCAGCCAUGAGCUGUUCAUUGCAUCUGUCGCAUAACAUUUUGAUAAGACUGUGUGUCUUAUAGAAUCGGAAGCUCAGGCUCAUAUCUGGACAGAUAAGAGAAUGCCUCCCCACCACAGCCCUCUUCUCUGUAGGCUGUAUCUUUUUCUAAUCACUUUGGCAGGUGAAAAUGUUUUUUUCCUCUAAACGAGUCAGAAGGGCUGGGAAUGUGUAACUUGGAAAAGAAGAUGCUCUGAUACCUGUACAUAAAAAAGACAGACUGCCAGUUACCUCAGCCUUACCACCUGUGCUGGGCACCCAUUCACAGCUCCUGAAUGAUUCCAUUAGUGGGGAAUUCUUAGU